This 67-nucleotide transfer RNA is filed under the name Ganaspini sp. ZJUH 20220007. Its description in RNAcentral is "tRNA-Met". The record is from RNAcentral. Lineage: Eukaryota; Metazoa; Arthropoda; Insecta; Hymenoptera; Figitidae.
UUAAAGGUAAGUUAAAUUUUAAACUUUUAGACUCAUAAUCUAAUAAUAGACCUUAAUCUUCUUUAAA